CCUACGGGUGGCAGCAGUCGAGAAUCAUUCACAAUGGGGGAAACCCUGAUGGGGCGACGCCGCGUGGGGGAAUGAAGGUCUGCGGAUUGUAAACCCCUGUCAUGGGGGAGCAAAUUAAAAAGAUAGUACCACAAGAGGAAGAGACGGCUAACUCUGUGCCAGCAGCCGCGGUAAGACAGAGGUCGCAAGCGUUGUUCGGAAUCACUGGGCGUAACGGGUGCGGAGGCUGUUUCGUAAGUCGUGGGUGAAAGGCGCGGGCUCAACCCGCGGACGGCACAUGAUACUGCGAGACUAGAGUACUGGAGGGGGAACCGGAAUUCUCGGUGUAGCCGU
RNAcentral lists this ribosomal RNA (333 nucleotides) under uncultured bacterium. RNAcentral describes it as "partial 16S ribosomal RNA". It matches the Rfam family "Bacterial small subunit ribosomal RNA", at positions 338 to 682 of the family's 1533-position model. The record is from RNAcentral.